Molecule: long non-coding RNA, 101 nt
Organism: Cyphomyrmex costatus
Lineage: Eukaryota; Metazoa; Arthropoda; Insecta; Hymenoptera; Formicidae
Exons: 3
Source: RefSeq, a predicted model, not a curated record
AAGAAAAUAUAUCUUCGCAAAAUCCUCAGCAGCACGAGCAUAUAAUCGUAUACAUUUGCCGUUGUGGACAAUUAUUUAGUAAAGAAGAAGACGCAACACAC